Molecule: ribosomal RNA, 431 nt
Filed under: uncultured bacterium
Lineage: Bacteria
Description: bacterial SSU rRNA
Rfam family: Bacterial small subunit ribosomal RNA
Source: RNAcentral
GAGCGGCAGCACGGGUACUUGUACCUGGUGGCGAGCGGCGGACGGGUGAGUAAUGCCUAGGAAUCUGCCUGGUAGUGGGGGAUAACGCUCGGAAACGGACGCUAAUACCGCAUACGUCCUACGGGAGAAAGCAGGGACCUUCGGGCCUUGCGCUAUCAGAUGAGCCUAGGUCGGAUUAGCUAGUUGGUGAGGUAAUGGCUCACCAAGGCGACGAUCCGUAACUGGUCUGAGAGGAUGAUCAGUCACACUGGAACUGAGACACGGUCCAGACUCCUACGGGAGGCAGCAGUGGGGAAUAUUGGACAAUGGGCGAAAGCCUGAUCCAGCCAUGCCGCGUGUGUGAAGAAGGUCUUCGGAUUGUAAAGCACUUUAAGUUGGGAGGAAGGGCAUUUACCUAAUACGUAAGUGUUUUGACGUUACCGACAGAAUAA